Molecule: long non-coding RNA, 1632 nt
Organism: Macaca fascicularis (crab-eating macaque)
Lineage: Eukaryota; Metazoa; Chordata; Mammalia; Primates; Cercopithecidae
Source: Ensembl
UUUUUUUUUUUUUUUUUUUUUUGAGACAGAGUCUCACUCUGUUGCCCAGGCUGGAGUGCAGUGAUGCAGCUUCGGCUCACUGCAACUUCUACCUCCCAGGCUCAAGCGAUUCUCCUGCCUCAGCCUCCUGAGUAGCUGGGAUUACUGGCGCCUGCCACCAUGCCUAGCUAAAUUUUUGUAUUUUUAGUAGAGACAGGGCUUCAUGUUGGCCAAGCUGGUCUCAAACUCCUGACCUCAUGAUCUGCCCACCUUGGUUUCCCAAAGUUCUAGGAUUACAGGCGUGAGCCACUGUGCCCGGUUGCCUUUUGGUUUUACUCAGGUGGACCCUUAAUGGAUUACAUGAUAACUGCUCACACUAGUGUCAGUGGAUCUUUUUUACUCAGUCUGCUGAUUCAAAUGCUAAUCUUCUCUGGGAACACCAGCAUAGACUCACCCAGAAAUAGUGUUUGACCAGCUGUCUGGGCAUCCCUUAACCCAGUCAAGUUGACAUAUAAAAUUAACCAUUACAAGUCUGCCCCUUAGGAACUUGGCAUCCAUAUGUAUCUCCUUAAACCAUAGUUAGUCUCCAAAUAAUAACAAUAACAAGGUCAUAAUUCCACUUAACAUGAUACAACCAUCCUGCAUGCAACAAAAAAUGCAGUAAUCCCUUUUCCAGAAGAGGAAGUAGUCUGUCAGUGAUGUGUAGUCUUCUGAUAUCCUAUACUUAAAAUACUAAGACGUAUUUUAAGUAUUAACAAUACUAGUACUUAGAAUACUAGUAUAAACUCAAUACAUCUUAUGUUACAUGAUAAGGGAUAACAAAGGAAAGAAAACAAAGAUGUUUGUUUAAUAUAUGUAUACAUACACACAUUUUUUAAAAAAAUAGGAAUGAAAUACUCUUGACAAUUAGUAUUCUUUUCUGUAACUGAUGACAUGGUUGUAGCUCAGACUUAUAACUACCAUCUUCAACUACACAUUCUGUAUUCCCUUUGCCUUCAGCAAGAACCUCAGCUGGUCUUGGUUCUUAACCUAGGAAGCCAGGGUUGGUUUGGGGGCGGAGGGGAGGUAAGCCAAACCUUCAUUCCUAAAGGGUCUGGGCCAUUCAUAGUCCUGCCUGGUAUGGGUUGUUGUAGUUUUCCAUUGACUUUAACCAUAGGACACGGUAAUACUGAGACAUUCUAAGGGAUCUCCUGUGUUCCAGACAUAUUCUUUCUUACCUCUUUUAUGUCACAUUUCCCCAUGGUAGUCAUGGUAGUCCCCAGCCAACACCAUAACUCCCCUAUUGGCCUGUUGACUCAGAGGCAUGACGGGAGCCCAAAGUGGUUGGAUGGCAGUCUUAACUUCUAGUUCAAUGGAAUUUAGUUCAAUUGUGUCUCCUGGUGGAAGCAGUCCUCCCUCUGGAUCCAGCAGAGCAUACCUUUGUAGAAACAGGAAGCAAAAUUUUUGUUAGUGGAUCACUAGGGAAUUAGUGUGUGGUGCCCUUCCCAUUUCUACCCCUUGAUUCCUGGACCAUAAAUCCUGACUAUGGGAGAAACAGUACUGUAUGUUGGACAUUCAUUCAGAGCCAUACAGCCUUCUGGAGAACCUUGCCUCUGCCUUGCAAAGUAUUGCCACUUAGCUGGCUCUGUAGGUGAGUCUUCAAAAGACCAUUCC